CAGGGAUUGCCCUAGUAACGGCGAGUGAAGCGGCAACAGCUCAAAUUUGAAAUCUGGCCCUCGUGGUCCGAGUUGUAAUUUGUAGAGGAUGCUUUUGGUGCGGUGCCUUCCGAGUUCCCUGGAACGGGACGCCAGAGAGGGUGAGAGCCCCGUACGGUUGGACACCUACCCUAUAUAUAGCUCCUUCGACGAGUCGAGUAGUUUGGGAAUGCUGCUCUAAAUGGGAGGUAAAUUUCUUCUAAAGCUAAAUACCGGCCAGAGACCGAUAGCGCACAAGUAGAGUGAUCGAAAGAUGAAAAGCACUUUGAAAAGAGGGUUAAAUAGCACGUGAAAUUGUUGAAAGGGAAGCGUUUGCGACCAGACCUUUUCCCGGCGGAUCAUCUGGUGUUCUCACCGGUGCACUUCGCUUGGUUUAGGCCAGCAUCGGUUUCUUUAGGGGGAUAAAGGUGUUGGGAACGUAGCUCUUUCGGGAGUGUUAUAGCCCUUCACGUAAUACCCUUCGAGGGACCGAGGACCGCGCAUUGCAAGGAUGCUGGCGUAAUGGUCGUCAACGACCCGUCUUGAAACACGGACCAAGGAGUCGAACAUUUGUGCGAGUGUUUGGGUGUUAAACCCUCACGCGUAAUGAAAGUGAACGGAGGUGAGAGCCCUUACGGGUGCAUCAUCGACCGAUCCUGAUGUCUUCGGAUGGAUUUGAGUAAGAGCAUAACUGUUCGGACCCGAAAGAUGGUGAACUAUGCGUGGAUAGGGUGAAGCCAGAGGAAACUCUGGUGGAGGCUCGCAGCGGUUCUGACGUGCAAAUCGAUCGUCAAAUCUGCGCAUGGGGGCGAAAGACUA
RNAcentral lists this ribosomal RNA (837 nucleotides) under Hypoxylon sp. RNAcentral describes it as "partial large subunit ribosomal RNA". It matches the Rfam family "Eukaryotic large subunit ribosomal RNA", at positions 69 to 933 of the family's 3401-position model. Lineage: Eukaryota; Fungi; Ascomycota; Sordariomycetes; Xylariales; Hypoxylaceae. The record is from RNAcentral.